AGACUUGCCACUUGGCAUUGUAAUUGUCUGCUGUCUGUUUGUCUGCCUUCCUCCUAGACUGUCUUGCCCUUGAGUUCCUUUGUCUCUGUAGCCCAGCUCCUAACAAUGCCUGGCACAGAAUAGGCACUUAAUAAAUAUUUGCGGAACAUAAGAAAAUGAACGAAUAACAAGACAGCAAGUGAAGGCUGGAUCCUGGCCCAAGGGCGUGAAUUUCUCUCAUCUUUGAUGUACACCCCAGGGUGCCGAUGAAAGUGCCAGAAUGUGCCACCCUAGCUUGGUGUUGAGGCAGCAGGCUGCAAGUGAAAGAGGUCGGGCUUCACUCCUAUACUUCCCAGGUUUUCAGAGCACGUUCCCUAAUAUCUCUGCCUCUCGGUUCCCUCUUUGCGUAACAGGGGCACGGGUUCUUACAGGUUUAGCCCCGUGUUUCUAAUCCUCAAAGCUCUGUCGCUAUUAUUCUCUUCCCUUUUUCAGUAGCAUUAUUACCCAAGAAUAUGUUAGGCAAUUGUGUUGAGAUAGAAAAGGGAAAAAUGCCAGAAAAGAAGGUCAAGCUAAGUGCUCUAUUAAGAAAAGUGCAAGAUUAUAAUGGAGAGAAACCAAAGGGCAGCGGCACCAGCAGGAGACAGGGAGCUGAAGCUGUGACCGAAGACUUCCAGAACCAAGACAAACGCACAUCUCAGAUUCACCUCGAAUUCCUGC
RNAcentral lists this long non-coding RNA (696 nucleotides) under Homo sapiens (human). RNAcentral's name for it is "non-protein coding lnc-PRKAG2-5:1". Lineage: Eukaryota; Metazoa; Chordata; Mammalia; Primates; Hominidae. The record is from RNAcentral.